Molecule: long non-coding RNA, 428 nt
Organism: Ailuropoda melanoleuca (giant panda)
Lineage: Eukaryota; Metazoa; Chordata; Mammalia; Carnivora; Ursidae
Exons: 3
Source: RefSeq, a predicted model, not a curated record
UGAUGCAAGGUCAGGAGCCCCCAGAGUUCUGGGAGGCGCUAGGCGGGGAGCCCUCUGAGAUCAAGAAGCACGUGCCCGAUGACUUCUGGCCACCUCAGCCCAAGCUGUAUAAGGUGGGCCUGGGCCUAGGCUAUCUGGAGCUGCCGCAGAUCAACUACAAGCUCUCCGUGGAACAUAAGACCCGUCCCAAGGUGGAGCUGCUGCCCAGGAUGCGGCUGCUGCAGAGCCUCCUGGACACGCGCUGCGUAUACAUCCUGGACUGUUGGUCAGACGUGUUCAUCUGGCUGGGCCGCAAGUCCCCGCGCCUGGUGCGCGCCGCCGCCCUCAAGCUGGGCCAGGAGCUGUGCGGGAUGUUGCACAGGCCGCGCCACGCCGCAGUCAGCCGCAGCCUGGAGGGCACCGAGGCGCAGGUGUGGAGUGCGAGCACA